RNAcentral lists this ribosomal RNA (464 nucleotides) under uncultured bacterium. RNAcentral describes it as "partial 16S ribosomal RNA". It matches the Rfam family "Bacterial small subunit ribosomal RNA", at positions 28 to 506 of the family's 1533-position model. The record is from RNAcentral.
GACGAACGCUGGCGGCGUGCUUAACACAUGCAAGUCGAACGGAAAGGCCCUGCUUGCAGGGUACUCGAGUGGCGAACGGGUGAGUAACACGUGGGUGAUCUGCCCUGCACUUCGGGAUAAGCCUGGGAAACUGGGUCUAAUACCGGAUAGGAGCCAUUUUUAGUGUGAUGGUUGGAAAGUUUUUUCGGUGUAGGAUGAGCUCGCGGCCUAUCAGCUUGUUGGUGGGGUAAUGGCCUACCAAGGCGGCGACGGGUAGCCGGCCUGAGAGGGUGGACGGCCACAUUGGGACUGAGAUACGGCCCAGACUCCUACGGGAGGCAGCAGUGGGGAAUAUUGCACAAUGGGCGCAAGCCUGAUGCAGCGACGCCGCGUGGGGGAUGACGGCCUUCGGGUUGUAAACUCCUUUCGCUAGGGACGAAGCUUUUUGUGACGGUACCUAGAUAAGAAGCACCGGCGAACUACGU